Molecule: small RNA, 237 nt
Filed under: Staphylococcus aureus
Lineage: Bacteria; Bacillati; Bacillota; Bacilli; Caryophanales; Staphylococcaceae
Description: HMPRFS0000_1735
Source: RNAcentral
UUAUGUCGCAAUAUGCAGAAAUGAGCCUAGUGUACGAUCAAUUGACUCAAGAUCAACCAUAUGAAAAAUGGUUUGAAAUUGUAAAAAAUCACUGCAAAGAUGAAUCAAAUAUUUUAGAUAUUGGAUGCGGUACUGGUAGUUUAACAGUUCAAUUAGAAGCUUUAGGUAAUGUUACUGGUAUGGAUUUAAGUGUUGAUAUGUUGACUGUUGCAGCUCAAAAAUCAGCAAAUGUAAAUU